CAAUAGCGUAUAUUAAAGCUGUUGCGGUUAAAGAGCUCGUAGUUGGAUUUCUGUCAAGGACAACUGGUCCGCCCUCCGGGUGAGCACAUAGUUUGGUCUUGGCAUCUUGCUGGAAACUGUUGCUGCGCUUGGUUGUGUGGUGCAGCUUUCAGCACUUUCACUUUGAGGAAAUUGGAGUGUUUCAAGCAGGCACAUGCCUUUGGACACAGUAGCAUGGAAUAAUUAGAUUGGGCUUUUGCUCCAACUUGUUGGUUCCUGGAGCUGAGGUGAGAAUCAAUGGGGAUUGUUGGGGGCAUCCGAAUUUAGCCGUCAGAGGUGAAAUUCUUGGAUCUGCUAAAGACGGACAACUGCGAAAGCGUUUGCCCAGGAUGUUUUCAUUGA
RNAcentral lists this ribosomal RNA (381 nucleotides) under uncultured eukaryote. RNAcentral describes it as "partial 18S ribosomal RNA". It matches the Rfam family "Eukaryotic small subunit ribosomal RNA", at positions 592 to 976 of the family's 1831-position model. The record is from RNAcentral.